Molecule: long non-coding RNA, 3023 nt
Organism: Alligator sinensis (Chinese alligator)
Lineage: Eukaryota; Metazoa; Chordata; Crocodylia; Alligatoridae
Exons: 4
Source: RefSeq, a predicted model, not a curated record
GUGACCACCCAUCCCUAAUUGGGUGAGACAGUCUCAGAAUGGGAACAUCAAGUCCUGGUCCUGGGCUGCAUGACUCCGAGACAUCGUUUGUCCCAGAUUUGCAGUGUCAUGCAGGGAUCUGUGGUAAAUGACAGAUUUCCCCUUAUAAACUAGCAGCUUUUCAGCCUGCAAGGGGCUAUUUCGGCCUGCCAAAAGUGGCACACAGGGAGCACCGUGUGUAUGUGCACACUUUCACACAAGCAAGUGGCCGGGAAUACAGCCAGUCAGUAUGGAGAGGAGCUCCCUGCAGAUGGAGAAUUGAGGCACAGCAAUGGGGAACUGAGUAAUUUGCACCAGAUUUUACAAAUAUCUAUGACAGAACAGAAAAUUGAACUUGGGUCUCUCAUAUCCCAGGUUAAUGCCUAACCACUGAACCAUACUUCCUCUUUAAUUGAUUUCAGUGAUCUUGAGAUCAACCUGGCAAAGAACUGCAAUUUUAGAACAUGCUCAGAAUUAACCAAGCAGGUUACUAGAGAAAUAAAGGACAGCUUCGUGUCAUCAAAUUAUCUGCAAUUACAUCUUCACUAGGAACAAGUGAUCAAUCAAAACAGUUGCUUUGAAAACUGAUGCAUGGUUACAUGUCUAGUGAGGAAGAUGGCUCUAGACAACGUCAAUUUAGGACAUGGUAUCCUAACCAAAGAUGACCUGGAAGGUCUUCGUGAUCUUUCACAUUUUCAAAAUAUAUGUUACGCUGGGGAGAUGGCUUUCUGGGAAUGGAUGAGAGGUCUGGUCUUCAAGAUCCCUGCCUCAUCUUAUUCAGGUAGCGGGAAGUAGAAGAGACAAGGAACAGCCAGAAAAGGAGACGGUCACAUGGUCCUUGGAAGCUUCGUACAGGCUUGGGCUAAUGGCUCCUGCUAUCACCUUUGUUUUUAGUAAUGCCGAGCACUCUGACAACCUUUGUUCUCUCUUUCUCACUUUUAAAAUUCCUGUGGCAUUUUGUAAAAGUAGAUUUAGUAAACUCAGCUGAAAUGUCUCUUCAUUCUUUCUUGUGCAUCGUAUUGCUCAGCUUAAUUUAUAAACUUCUUUAGGUCAAUCAGGAUAAAAAAAAUAAAAGUCCUACCAUAUAUGUAAAUGUAAUAGCAGCAUUCAAUUCUCAUUAGUGACUGCUCUGGAUUGUUAUAGGUGACACUGGUAGAGAAAGUUAUGAAGUCAAACACUCAGAAAUUAGAAAAUGCCUGGGUUGUUUACCUGAGCAACCCCAAUAUGGUUGAGACAGGGAUCCUGACUCUAAAAUGUCAUACAGUCAUGUCAUUAAAGAUGAUAUCAUCAGGUUGCUGAAUUUAAGCUGCCUUAAAGCUGGCACUACCCGGCUUCUGAGUAGUUCAUUAUUUAGUCUUAACAUCCCUUUUAUAUCAUUACUGUAUGUCAUAGUACAUAUAUUUAGGAUUUAGGAUCUGAACACUGCAGCUCACCCAAGACACCAUACAUGAAAUGUAUAAUUCAGGGUAAUUUCUACAAUACAUUGAAUUCAAAUUGAAACACCUAUUUUUAAACACUACCACCAGGGAACUAGUGGAUUAGGAGCUGGGAUGCUGGAAUGCCUAGCCUAGUAGCACAGCCCACCAGUGAACUAUGAGACCACGGCAAGUUGGGAAACUCGUUGCCUGCCUACUUCUGUCAAAAGUUUCUGGUGGAAAAAUUUCUAAAUUAACUUUGCAAAGUCAAAAACUCAGAAGCUAGGGAAUUCCAGGAAUAAGGCUGCCUGUGAAGUUUUAAUUCAGCACCCUGAUGUGUAUGUAUUAUGAGGAAGCCUUUAAUUUUAAGACCACCUCUUUGACAGGAUUCCUGACUCAUCCAGUGCACAACAUAUUCAUAAACUUCAGGAACAAGAGCAGUACUACUUUUUACAGCAUUUGUGUAAACUGUGAUUUCCCAUGGCUUGACCAAAUCUGUGUGGAUUUCCCUGGGAACAGGAAAAAGCUCUUUAACUUCAUCUUUGCCAAAUUUCAAGGUUUUAGGCCCGAACCAUGGAGGAUUGCAAGACUACUGAGAAAAGGAAGAAUGUAUUCUUGAUAACGCUGAUUUUGGAAACUGCAGAACAAUUUUGUUCUGAUGUAACUUUGAAUGAAAAAUGUAGACCGAGGCAUAUGGACAUGUCAACCUGAAUGAUUAAAAUGUAGUAGUUUCAAGCAAUUGAAAGCAAGGCCCUAUAAUGACAAAUGUUUGGCCACCUUAACAAUCUACUAUACCAAUUCAUUUAAUUUAUUAAAAGACUAUUAUUCACUUCACCUGUAAAAAAAACAGCUGUGUGGGGCAUAUUUACAAUAUUUUUCUCAAACCAAAGUGUAUAGUUUAUAGUUAAUCUUCACCAUUUUUUUUAAAAAGCACAGGGGAGUCAAAUUUAGUUUGCUCAGUUAAAACACUUGAGAGAGUGUUGGGUAACAUUUCUCUUGCCAAAAAAAGUAAGUGCAAAAAGAAGAGAUCUAUUAAGGAGACAUUAAUUCCAUACUUAAGGGAAGUAAAUAUAGUUCCGAGCUGAGUAAGUCUUAGUCUGUUGCUUUGUAUAAAGAUAGUGUGAGAGACAUGAAGAAAAGAAUGCUUCUUCCAGUUAAGUAAGAGCUUGUGUACACAGAAACACUCAGGAAAGUUAAGAUAAAGAAAAUAAAAUUUUACUAGGAUGGUAAAAUGUAUUGGUUAAGCUUAUAGCAUCUCUGUGUGGAUACACUCAUGCUGAAACAGAGUGGCUUUAGUGGACUAUUUCUUAAUCCUUGAAGGAAUUCUCCAGUGAAAUAAGAUCCCAUAAGAUGCUUCAAUUCAAAAUUGAAGCAUCUUCAAUUGAAGCAUUUUGAUUGGAAAGGGGAGAAAUCCUGUUCAAUUGCUGCCUAACUCUGGAAGCACCUAAACUCACUACCUCACUCUUGUACAUUAUGUUUUCCUCAGGCCCCAUCUACAUGUUGCAGGUAUCUCACAAUUAACUGGUUAAUAGCACACUUACAUUAAGACCAGCUACACGUGCAAAGUAGCUAUCGCACAAUAAAAAGCUC